This 253-nucleotide ribosomal RNA is filed under the name uncultured bacterium. RNAcentral's name for it is "partial 16S ribosomal RNA". It matches the Rfam family "Bacterial small subunit ribosomal RNA", at positions 524 to 776 of the family's 1533-position model. The record is from RNAcentral.
GACAGAGGGUGCAACCGUUGUUCGGAAUUACUGGGCGUAAAGCGAGUGUAGGCGGUCUGCUAAGUCGGGUGUGAAAGCCCCGGGCUCAACCCGGGAAGUGCACUCGAAACUGGCAGGCUAGAGUACUGGAGAGGUUGGUGGAAUUCUCGGUGUAGAGGUGAAAUUCGUAGAUAUCGAGAGGAACACCGGUGGCGAAGGCGGCCAACUGGACAGAUACUGACGCUGAGACUCGAAAGCGUGGGGAGCAAACAGG